RNAcentral lists this ribosomal RNA (800 nucleotides) under uncultured bacterium. RNAcentral describes it as "bacterial SSU rRNA". It matches the Rfam family "Bacterial small subunit ribosomal RNA", at positions 8 to 815 of the family's 1533-position model. The record is from RNAcentral.
AGAGUUUGAUCAUGGCUCAGGAUAAACGCUGGCGGCGCACAUAAGACAUGCAAGUCGAACGAACUUAACUCAUUCUUUACGAUUGAGAGCGGUUAGUGGCGGACUGGUGAGUAAUACGUAAGCAACCUGCCUAUCAGAGGGGAAUAACAGUGAGAAAUCAUUGCUAAUACCGCAUAUGCUAACAGUAUUGCAUGAUACAGUUAGGAAAGGAGCAAUCCGCUGAUAGAUGGGCUUACGCCUGAUUAGCUAGUUGGUGGGGCAACGGCCUACCAAGGCGACGAUCAGUAGCCGGACUGAGAGGUUGAACGGCCACAUUGGGACUGAGAUACGGCCCAGACUCCUACGGGAGGCAGCAGUCGGGAAUAUUGCGCAAUGGAGGAAACUCUGACGCAGUGACGCCGCGUAUAGGAAGAAGGUUUUCGGAUUGUAAACUAUUGUCGUUAGGGAAGAUAAAAGACUGUACCUAAGGAGGAAGCCCCGGCUAACUAUGUGCCAGCAGCCGCGGUAAUACAUAGGGGGCAAGCGUUAUCCGGAAUUAUUGGGUGUAAAGGGUGCGUAGACGGAGAGACAAGUUGGUUGUGAAAUCCCUCGGCUCAACUGAGGAACUGCAACCAAAACUAUUUCCCUUGAGUGUCGGAGAGAAAAGUGGAAUUCCUAGUGUAGCGGUGAAAUGCGUAGAUAUUAGGAGGAACACCAGUGGCGAAGGCGACUUUCUGGACGAUAACUGACGUUGAGGCACGAAAGUGUGGGGAGCAAACAGGAUUAGAUACCCUGGUAGUCCACACCGUAAACGAUGGAUA